AAAUAUUAGAUCUUUCCAGUGUUUGGCAAAGACGUCAGGGAGCACUGUAAGAUCCAGUGUUUACCAGAAACCUUUGAUCCAGAAUCCUGUUGUAAAUGUGGAAUUAUAUAAUGUAAAGAAUGGGACUGUAAAGGUCACUGCUUACAGCCAGCUUAAUCUCAUUUGUUUUAAACCUAACAGGUAUAAUUGGGACAGAUGGGAUGCAAGGUAUAAUGACUUUUAUUAUUAUGACCACACUUACUGGUGUAGAGUGAGUUACGAUCACUGUCUGCAAGUGAGAAAGAAUGUACUAGAGACAUUAACCUCAGUCACAUUAGAAAUAUGUGUGACGCCAAAUGAUGAUGGAACAACAUAUCGCUGCUCACCCGGGAAUAAAGAGGUUCGAAUUGUUGUCAUCGCACCUCCUCCUCAACGAGUCAUUCCAGCUGUGAGGCCCAUAACUCCCGGGAACGUUCUACCAAAAGCCAAUAGCGGCAUAGAGCAUGGAGUUGGCAUCAUAAUAGUAUUGACCAGCGUAAUACUUCUUAUCAUCAUUGUGUGUGUUACUGUCACCACAUGCAAGGGUCAAAGACUCAGACAAAGGUGCUGUGUGUUGUUUGUAAGGAGAACACCGCUGUCAGCAGUUAACGUCCAUGCAAAUAUGUACGCAAACUCAGUCGCCCAGUAUUACAGUCACCAUCGUCAUCAGGUUCCCCCACCUGAUAACCAGGCUGAAGGGGAUGAUAAGGAGACCUCAAGCAGCCUGGAUGAAGAGUUUGAGGAGUUGCCUGUUCGCCCAAAGACAGAGGACACAGAUUACGUCAGAGUUAACCCCUUAGGAGCUGCAAGGAACAGUGAAAAGUUUGGCCAAGGUGGGCUCCUGCCUUGUAAUUAUGACAACAUG
Molecule: long non-coding RNA, 883 nt
Organism: Micropterus salmoides (largemouth bass)
Lineage: Eukaryota; Metazoa; Chordata; Actinopteri; Centrarchiformes; Centrarchidae
Exons: 6
Source: RefSeq, a predicted model, not a curated record